GCCCGAGUGGCGGAAUGGUAGACGCAGCGGAUUCAAAAUCCGCCGGUAGCAAUAUCGUGCGAGUUCGAGUCUCGCCUCGGGCA
RNAcentral lists this transfer RNA (83 nucleotides) under Tropicimonas sediminicola. Its description in RNAcentral is "Tropicimonas sp. M97 tRNA". It matches the Rfam family "tRNA". From Rfam's summary of the family: Transfer RNA (tRNA) molecules are approximately 80 nucleotides in length. Their secondary structure includes four short double-helical elements and three loops (D, anti-codon, and T loops). Further hydrogen bonds mediate the characteristic L-shaped molecular structure. tRNAs have two regions of fundamental functional importance: the anti-codon, which is responsible for specific mRNA codon recognition, and the 3' end, to which the tRNAs corresponding amino acid is attached (by aminoacyl-tRNA synthetases). tRNAs cope with the degeneracy of the genetic code in two manners: having more than one tRNA (with a specific anti-codon) for a particular amino acid; and 'wobble' base-pairing, i.e. permitting non-standard base-pairing at the 3rd anti-codon position. The record is from Rfam by way of RNAcentral. Lineage: Bacteria; Pseudomonadati; Pseudomonadota; Alphaproteobacteria; Rhodobacterales; Roseobacteraceae.